CCCGCUGAGUUUAAGCAUAUCAAUAAGC
RNAcentral lists this ribosomal RNA (28 nucleotides) under Psacalium cirsiifolium. RNAcentral's name for it is "partial 26S ribosomal RNA". RNAcentral also lists the same sequence under 1 other name. Lineage: Eukaryota; Viridiplantae; Streptophyta; Magnoliopsida; Asterales; Asteraceae. The record is from RNAcentral.